Molecule: ribosomal RNA, 372 nt
Filed under: uncultured eukaryote
Lineage: Eukaryota
Description: SSU rRNA
Rfam family: Eukaryotic small subunit ribosomal RNA
Source: RNAcentral
CCAGCAGCCGCGGUAAUUCCAGCUCCAAUAGCGUAUAUUAAAGUUGUUGCAGUUAAAAAGCUCGUAGUUGGAUUUCUGGUUUGGGCGUCCGGUCCGCCUCCUCUGGAGGUGCGUACUAAGGAUGUUCGAGCCAUUUUUUGUGAGGAUGUUCUUCUGCCAUUAAGUUGGUGGUUGAAUAGACUUGCAUCGUUUACUGUGAAAAAAUUAGAGUGUUUAAAGCAGGCGUUUGCUCAUUGAAUACAUUAGCAUGGAAUAAUAAGAUACGACCUUGGUGGUCUAUUUUGUUGGUUUGCACACCAGGGUAAUGAUUAAUAGGGACAGUUGGGGGUAUUCAUAUUUCAGCGUCAGAGGUGAAAUUCUUGGAUCGCUGAA